This 839-nucleotide unclassified non-coding RNA is filed under the name Bradyrhizobium sp. RNAcentral's name for it is "partial 16S-23S ribosomal RNA intergenic spacer". The stretch from base 726 to 839 matches the Rfam family "Bacterial large subunit ribosomal RNA", at positions 1 to 113 of the family's 2925-position model. The record is from RNAcentral. RNAcentral also lists the same sequence under 1 other name. Lineage: Bacteria; Pseudomonadati; Pseudomonadota; Alphaproteobacteria; Hyphomicrobiales; Nitrobacteraceae.
CUAUCGGAUCGUUUUAGAAACAUCAGUGGCCAACAGAUCGCCAGAUCGUUGAGCUGCAUUGGCGGGAUUUCGCCGUCUUCGUUUCUCUUUCUUCGCGGACGAACACGCGCUGGGCCUGCAACGGCAGGAUCCAGGGUCCUUAACGGGAUGUGCGUUAGGGGCUUGUAGCUCAGUUGGUUAGAGCGCGCGCUUGAUAAGCGUGAGGUCGGAAGUUCAAGUCUUCCCAGGCCCACCACUUUCAUCGAGUGAGCAUUCGUCUUCUGGUUACGGGGCCAUAGCUCAGCUGGGAGAGCGCGUGCUUUGCAAGCAUGAGGUCGUCGGUUCGAUCCCGUCUGGCUCCACCAGAUGGUUUGAUCACCGAGAUCUUGACCGUCGUCCGCGAAACAUCACUUCGCAUCCUGCUAGUCUGGAUAGACAGCAGUUUGCGUGUUUUCUGACAUCGUAAAGAGGAGAUCGAUCCGAGUUGGGUCGUGCAGCAUAUCGUUGCGCGAGCCUUCAUUAUCUCCGGAUCAUUUCGGCGCUCGCUUCCAGCCGUGAGGUUGGAUGCGGGUUGUAAAUGAUCCUUUUAGCGAAGCUUGACCGCCUCGCUAUCGGAACGAUCUUACGAAGCAAGCUGGUCUUUCUAGUCAAUGUCCGGCUGCGGAUAGCGUUCAUCGAGGGCGCGUGCCGCAAGGCAAUUCUGCAGACAACAUUCUGCCGAGUGUGUGGACAUUGAUAAUGAGAGCAAUCAAGUGCCUUAAGGGUGUUCGGUGGAUGCCUUGGCGCUGAGAGGCGAUGAAGGACGUGCUACGCUGCGAUAAGCCGUGGGGAGCUGCGAAGAAGCUUUGAUCCGCGGAUUU